Molecule: ribosomal RNA, 1445 nt
Filed under: Ceratomyxa longipes
Lineage: Eukaryota; Metazoa; Cnidaria; Myxozoa; Bivalvulida; Ceratomyxidae
Description: bacterial SSU rRNA
Rfam family: Eukaryotic small subunit ribosomal RNA
Source: RNAcentral
CUAGUUGGUAAGGUAGUGGCUUACCAAGGUGGUUACGGGUAACGGGGAAUCAGGGUUCGAUUCCGGAGAGGGAGCCUGAGAAACGGCUACCACAUCCAAGGAAGGCAGCAGGCGCGCAAAUUACCCAAUCCAGAAACUGGGAGGUAGUGACGAGAAAUAAUGGGGGCACUCCAAAGGGGUGGCAUCUGUCAUGAACGCAAAAUAAAAAUGUCGAUAAGGAACUACUGGAGGGCAAGUCUGGUGCCAGCAGCCGCGGUAAUUCCAGCUCCAGUAGUGUAUAUCAAGAUUGUUGCGCUUAAAACGCUCGUAGUUGGAUAUGUGAGCGUAAAGACUAUAUGGGUGUAGACUCAUUAGUUAUAUGCAAUCUAUAUUAUAUUCAAAAAAUAUAUAAAAGUGAAAACGCUCUUUGUGAGGGAGUCAAGUCUUGGCUUUUAUGCAAUCUGUUUUAGAUUCAAAAAAUAUAGAAUAGUGUAAACGCUCUUGGUGAUUGACUCAUGGUUUGGCUUUAAUUAGACAGGCUAUGGUGUCGAUGAAGUGGGCCUUGAAUAAAGCAUAGGGCUCAAUGCAAGCAAAUCGCUGGUGUGUAAUAGCAUGGAACGAAUAGACUGUCUUGUUAGUCUCACUUAAUAGUGAGGCUAACGCGCCAUUAUCGGUUGGUGGCGCAGACGUCGGUGGUUAAGAGAGACAUCUGAGGGCAUUGGUACUUUGGGGCGAGAGGUGAAAUUCUUAGACCCUCAAAAGACGAACUACUGCGAAGGCAUUUGCCAAGAAUGUUUUCAUUGAUCAAGAACGAAGGUCAGAGGAUCGAAGACGACCAGAUACCGUCCUAGUUUUGACAGAAAACUAUGCCAGCAUAGGCUUGGGAUGAUCACUCAAUUGAGACGAAUCAUCGCUGUCCUUAAGGGAAACCUUAGCUUUGGGGCUGCUGGGAGAAUAUCGCUGCAAGGCUGAAAUUUAAAGAAAUUGACGGAGAGGCACCACCAGGAGUGGAGCUUGCGGCUUAAUUUGACUCAACACGGGAAAACUCACCGGGUCCAGACAUUGGUAGGAUUGACAGACUGGUGGAUCUUUCAUGAUUCAGUGGAUGGUGGUGCAUGGCCGUUGUUAGUUGGUGGAGUGAUCUGUCAGGUUUAUUCCGGUAACGAGCGAGACUGCGAUUUUUAUUUGGAGUCCCUGGCUCUUGUAGUGUAGGGAUGUCUAUAAAAAGACUAUUGGUAACAAGCCAGCGGAAGCGCAGCAAUAACAGGUCUGUGAUGCCCUGCGAUGUCCUGGGCUGCACGCGUGCUACAAUGGCAGCAAAAGAAGGAUACUGGCCCGAAGGGGUUGGUAAAACGAGAAUAGCUGCCGUGAUGGGGAUUGAGGUUUGUAAUUAUUGCUCAUGAAAGAGGAAUUCCUCGUAAGCACAAGUCAUCAGCUUGUGUUGGAUACGUCUCUGCCUCUUGUAC